This 755-nucleotide ribosomal RNA is filed under the name uncultured bacterium. RNAcentral describes it as "bacterial SSU rRNA". It matches the Rfam family "Bacterial small subunit ribosomal RNA", at positions 8 to 796 of the family's 1533-position model. The record is from RNAcentral.
AGAGUUUGAUCAUGGCUCAGGAUCAACGCUGGCGGCGUGCCUAACGCAUGUAAGUCGCACGCACGGUCUUGUGACCGUGAGUGGCGAACGGCUGAGGAACACGUACGAACCUGCCCGCUUGUGGGGAAUAACGCACCGAAAGGUGUGCUAACACCGCGUACGCUCAUGCUUCGGCAUGAGGAAAGCCGUAAGGCGCAGGCGGAGGGGCGUGCGGCCCAUCAGGUAGUUGGUGGGGUAAUGGCCUACCAAGCCCGCGACGGGUAGCUGGUCUGUGAGGACGAUCAGCCAGACUGGGACUGAGACACGGCCCAGACACCUACGGGUGGCAGCAGCGAGGAAUCUUCCACAAUGGGCGCAAGCCCGAUGGAGCAACGCCGCGUGGAGGACGACGGCCUUCGGGUUGUAAACUCCUUUCGGGGGGGAUGACACGGACAGUACCCCCAGAAGCAGCCCCGGCUAACUCUGUGCCAGCAGCCGCGGUAAUACAGAGGGGGCAAGCGUUGUCCGGAUUUACUGGGCGUACAGCGCGCGCAGGCGGCUGGGAACGUGCCGUGUGACAAGCCACCGCUUACCGGUGGAGGGCCAUGGUAGACGUCCCGGCUAGAGGCAGGGAGAGGGAUGUGGAAUGCCCGGUGGAGCGGUGAAAUGCGUAGAGAUCGGGCGGAACACCGCGGCGAAGGCGGCAUCCUGGUCCUGUCCUGACGCUGAGGCGCGAGAGCGUGGGGAGCGAACUGGAUUAGAUACCCUAGUAGUCC